Molecule: ribosomal RNA, 407 nt
Filed under: uncultured bacterium
Lineage: Bacteria
Description: partial 16S ribosomal RNA
Rfam family: Bacterial small subunit ribosomal RNA
Source: RNAcentral
AUUGAACGCUAGCGGGAUGCCUUACACAUGCAAGUCGAACGGAGUGGCGAACGGGUGAGUAAUGUAUCGGAACGUGCCCACUUGCGGGGGAUAACUACGCGCAAGCGUAGCUAAUACCUCACACUAUUGGUGCGGCCGGUAUCGGAUUAGCUAGGUGGUGGGGUAACGGCUCACCAAGGCGACGAUCCGUAGCUGGUUUGAGAGGACGAACAGCCACACUGGAACUGAUACACGGCCCAGACUCCUACGGGAGGCAGCAGUGGGGAAUUUUGGACAAUGGGGGAAACCCUGAUCCAGCCAUGCCGCGUGUGCGAUGAAGGCCUUCGGGUUGUAAAGCACUUUUGGCAGGAAAGCGGUACCUGCAGAAUAAGCACCGGCUAACUACGUGCCAGCAGCCGCGGUAAUAC